Molecule: ribosomal RNA, 2938 nt
Filed under: Moellerella wisconsensis
Lineage: Bacteria; Pseudomonadati; Pseudomonadota; Gammaproteobacteria; Enterobacterales; Morganellaceae
Description: bacterial LSU rRNA
Rfam family: Bacterial large subunit ribosomal RNA
Source: RNAcentral
GGGUUGUGAGGUUAAGCGAAUAAGCGUACACGGUGGAUGCCUAGGCAGUCAGAGGCGAUGAAGGACGUGCUAAUCUGCGAAAAGCGUCGGUGAGCUGAUAUGAAGCGUUAUUAGCCGACGAUGUCCGAAUGGGGAAACCCGGUGCACUUUGGUGCAUCAUCAUUUAGUGAAUACAUAGCUAAAUGAAGCGAACCGAGGGAACUGAAACAUCUCAGUACCUCGAGGAAAAGAAAUCAACCGAGAUUCCCCUAGUAGCGGCGAGCGAACGGGGAGCAGCCCAGAACCAACAUCAACGCUAGCAUUAAGAGAACAGUCUGGAAAGUCUGGCAGUAAAGGGUGAUAGCCCCGUAUCUGAAAAUGCUAGUGUUGUGAGUUCGACGAGUAGGGCGGGACACGUGUUAUCCUGUCUGAAUAUGGGGGGACCAUCCUCCAAGGCUAAAUACUCCUGACUGACCGAUAGUGAACCAGUACCGUGAGGGAAAGGCGAAAAGAACCCCGGCGAGGGGAGUGAAAUAGAACCUGAAACCGUGUACGUACAAGCAGUGGGAGCCUUGAUUUAUCAGGGUGACUGCGUACCUUUUGUAUAAUGGGUCAGCGACUUAUAUUCUGUAGCAAGGUUAACCGAAUAGGGGAGCCGUAGGGAAACCGAGUCUUAACUGGGCGAAUGAGUUGCAGGGUAUAGACCCGAAACCCGGUGAUCUAGCCAUGGGCAGGUUGAAGGUUGGGUAACACUAACUGGAGGACCGAACCGACUAAUGUUGAAAAAUUAGCGGAUGACUUGUGGCUGGGGGUGAAAGGCCAAUCAAACCGGGAGAUAGCUGGUUCUCCCCGAAAGCUAUUUAGGUAGCGCCUCGUGAAUUCAUCUUCGGGGGUAGAGCACUGUUUCGACUAGGGGGUCAUCCCGACUUACCAACUCGAUGCAAACUACGAAUACCGAAGAAUGUUAUCACGGGAGACACACGGCGGGUGCUAACGUUCGUCGUGAAGAGGGAAACAACCCAGACCGCCAGCUAAGGUCCCAAAGUCAUAGUUAAGUGGGAAACGAAGUGGAAAGGCUCAGACAGCCAGGAUGUUGGCUUAGAAGCAGCCAUCAUUUAAAGAAAGCGUAAUAGCUCACUGGUCGAGUCGGUCUGCGCGGAAGAUGUAACGGGGCUAAACUAUGCACCGAAGCUGCGGCAGCGAUAUUUAAAUAUUGUUGGGUAGGGGAGCGUUCUGUAAGCCUGCGAAGGUGUGCUGUGAGGCAUGCUGGAGGUAUCAGAAGUGCGAAUGCUGACAUAAGUAACGAUAAUGCGGGUGAAAAACCCGCACGCCGGAAGACCAAGGGUUCCUGUCCAACGUUAAUCGGGGCAGGGUGAGUCGACCCCUAAGGCGAGGCUGAAAAGCGUAGUCGAUGGGCAACGGGUUAAUAUUCCCGUACUGGUGAUAAUUGCGAUGGGGGGACGGAGAAGGCUAAGUUAGCUGGGCGACGGUUGUCCCGGUUUAAGGAUGUAGGUGGGUGAAUUAGGCAAAUCCGGUUCACUAUACACUGAGGUCUGAUGACGAGUCACUACGGUGAUGAAGUAACUGAUGCCAUGCUUCCAGGAAAAGCCUCUAAGCUCUAGAUUAUCAUUAAUCGUACCCCAAACCGACACAGGUGGUCAGGUAGAGAAUACUAAGGCGCUUGAGAGAACUCGGGUGAAGGAACUAGGCAAAAUGGUGCCGUAACUUCGGGAGAAGGCACGCUGGCGUUAGGUGAAGUGAUUUACUCACGGAGCUGAAGCCAGUCGCAGAUACCAGCUGGCUGCAACUGUUUAUUAAAAACACAGCACUGUGCAAACACGAAAGUGGACGUAUACGGUGUGACGCCUGCCCGGUGCUGGAAGGUUAAUUGAUGGGGUUAGCGUAAGCGAAGCUCUUGAUCGAAGCCCCAGUAAACGGCGGCCGUAACUAUAACGGUCCUAAGGUAGCGAAAUUCCUUGUCGGGUAAGUUCCGACCUGCACGAAUGGCGUAAUGAUGGCCAGGCUGUCUCCACCCGAGACUCAGUGAAAUUGAACUCGCUGUGAAGAUGCAGUGUACCCGCGGCAAGACGGAAAGACCCCGUGAACCUUUACUAUAGCUUGACACUGAACAUUGAGCCUUGAUGUGUAGGAUAGGUGGGAGGCUUUGAAGUGUGGACGCCAGUCUGCAUGGAGCCAACCUUGAAAUACCACCCUUUAAUGUUUGAUGUUCUAACGUAGACCCAUUAUCUGGGUUGCGGACAGUGUCUGGUGGGUAGUUUGACUGGGGCGGUCUCCUCCCAAAGAGUAACGGAGGAGCACGAAGGUUAGCUAAUCACGGUCGGACAUCGUGAGGUUAGUGCAAUGGCAUAAGCUAGCUUGACUGCGAGAGUGACGGCUCGAGCAGGUACGAAAGUAGGUCAUAGUGAUCCGGUGGUUCUGAAUGGAAGGGCCAUCGCUCAACGGAUAAAAGGUACUCCGGGGAUAACAGGCUGAUACCGCCCAAGAGUUCAUAUCGACGGCGGUGUUUGGCACCUCGAUGUCGGCUCAUCACAUCCUGGGGCUGAAGUAGGUCCCAAGGGUACGGCUGUUCGCCGUUUAAAGUGGUACGCGAGCUGGGUUUAGAACGUCGUGAGACAGUUCGGUCCCUAUCUGCCGUGGGCGUUGGAAGAUUGAAAGGGGCUGCUCCUAGUACGAGAGGACCGGAGUGGACGCACCACUGGUGUUCGGGUUGUCAUGCCAAUGGCAUUGCCCGGUAGCUAAGUGCGGAAGAGAUAACCGCUGAAAGCAUCUAAGCGGGAAACUUGCCUUGAGAUGAGUCUUCCCUGACUCCUUGAGAGUCCUGAAGGAACGUUUAAGACUAAGACGUUGAUAGGCUGGGUGUGUAAGCGGUGCGAGCCGUUGAGCUAACCAGUACUAAUGAACCGAGAGGCUUAACCUUACAACACCGAAGGUGUUUUAG